UUUCCACGUCUCAGAUCUUUAAAGGAGUAUGGUGUUAAUGCUUGAGUCGAAUAGCCGUAGUUUGGUCUUGAGUGUCAAAUGCAGCUCUUGCCUUGCCCAUUCUUGUGGUUAACCAUCAAGCUGGCCAGUGUCUUUCUGUUUGCACUUUGGUCAUUGUGCUAAUAUGGAGACCUGUCUCAGCUGACUUCUGUUCUACCCCUCUCAGUUUCUCUUACAUUUGUUGGUGUUUUUGGGACAGUGAUGUGAUAUAAUCUGCAAAGUCUAGGUCGUCCAGUUGUGUAAAUGGGGUCCAUUGGAUCCCAUUGCGCCUGUUGUCAGUGGCUUGCCGCAUGACCUAGUCGGCCGCAUGAUGUAGUCAACCUUCGAAGAGGAAUGGUAAUCAAGAAAGUAGACAGCCUUGACUAACUCCUGUUGAGAUGUGAAAUGCCUCUGUCAGCUGGCCUUUAUGUUUUUAGUCAGGAUUAAUCCUGACUCCAACAAGUGCACUGCCAAGGAGCAGAUGAGCAAGACGACUGGGAGAGUGGUGAAGCGGAAGACUUCAUACAUGAACCCCCAUGUCAUCUCCUUCAUCAGGGACUUCACGGAGUUCUAUUUGCUAACUGACUAGAUACAGGGCUCCAACUAGGAUUCUAGGUCUCCAAGGUCAGGGCAUGCAAGAGGCCAUAGUGGCAGGGGAAGUUUAUUUUCCUUUCUGUUUUAAAUGUUGAUGCAAAUGUUAAAUA
Molecule: long non-coding RNA, 722 nt
Organism: Carassius auratus (goldfish)
Lineage: Eukaryota; Metazoa; Chordata; Actinopteri; Cypriniformes; Cyprinidae
Exons: 3
Source: RefSeq, a predicted model, not a curated record